AGGGAAUAGAUACCCGGGUAGUCCUGGCAGUAAACGGUGCACGUUUGGUGUGGGCGCAAUCGACCGCGUCCGCGCCGGAGCUAAACGCGUUAAACGUGCCGCCUGGGAAGUACGGUCGCAAGAUUAAAACUCAAAGAAAUUGACGGGGACCCGCACAAGCGGUGGAGUAUGUGGCUUAAUUCGAUGCAACGCGAAGAACCUUACCUGGUCUUGACAUGCAUUGUGUCUCCGGUGAAAGCCGGAUAGGGUAGCAAUACCCGCUUUGCACAGGUGCUGCAUGGCUGUCGUCAGCUCGUGUCGUGAGAUGUUGGGUUAAAGUCCCGCAACGAGCGCAACCCCUGUGAUUUGUUGCCACCGGCUUAUGCCGAGCACUCGAAUCAGACUGCCUCGAUCAACGAGGAGGAAGGUGGGGAUGACGUCAAGUCCGUAUGGCCUUACGACCAGGGCUGCACACGUACUACAAUGCCCAGUACAAUGUGAA
This 481-nucleotide ribosomal RNA is filed under the name uncultured bacterium. RNAcentral's name for it is "bacterial SSU rRNA". It matches the Rfam family "Bacterial small subunit ribosomal RNA", at positions 773 to 1248 of the family's 1533-position model. The record is from RNAcentral.